CCUACGGGAGGCAGCAGUGAGGCAUCUUUGACAAUGGGCGCGAGCCUGAUCCAGCCACGUCGCGUGAGGGAUGAAUGCCCUACGGGUUGUAAACUUCUUUUAUAAGGGAGUAAAGUGAGGCAAGUGUGCCUUUUUGUAUGUACUUUUUGAAUCAGGUACGGCUAACUCCGUGCCAGCAGACGAGGUAAUACGGAGGAUCCGAGCGUGAGCCGGAUUUAUUGGGUUUAAAGGGUGCGUAGGCGGUUCGAAAAGUCAGCGGUAAAAGCCCGGUGCUAAACCCCGGCAAGCCGUUGAAACUGUCGGACUAGAGACGGCGAGAGGUACGCGGAAUGCGCGGUGUAGCGGUGAAAUGCAUAGAUAUCGGGCAGAACUCCGAUGGCGAAGGCAGCUUACUGGCGCCGGACUGACGCUGAGGCACGAAAGCGUGGGUAGCGAACAGGAUUAGAUACCCGAGUAGUC
This 459-nucleotide ribosomal RNA is filed under the name uncultured bacterium. RNAcentral's name for it is "partial 16S ribosomal RNA". It matches the Rfam family "Bacterial small subunit ribosomal RNA", at positions 338 to 795 of the family's 1533-position model. The record is from RNAcentral.